UAGAUUUUAUUGCUCCUGAUAGGCAAUGGAAUUUACAAGCUUUUAACUCAUGUUUUAAUGCUGAUCUAACUCUUGUUAUUACAAAUUGUCAUCUCAAACUCAAAACCCAACAUCUCCUCAGCCUUUCUUUUUUUUUUUUCAGGUGCUCAAAGAGAGAGUCAAAGUUGUUAGGAAACAUUAGAUUUCAGUAGUUUAAGAAGUGAAUGCUUUAAUUAGGAGCACUAGUGCAAAAUAAACUGUAAGUGCAUAUUAUAAUCAUCCAUUUUGCCUCAUAGAGUUGUACUCUAUAGCUGAGGAGAUUUUGACAAGGAAAAGGCUCUCCCAUCCUUCCAUCAAUAAGUUCUUUGAAUAUUUGCAAAUACUUGAACAAUCUAAGAGUAGAAUUAUUACAACACAGAGUUAUUAGUGGUGUUACAACGAAUAUUCGACCC
Molecule: long non-coding RNA, 431 nt
Filed under: Elaeis guineensis (African oil palm)
Lineage: Eukaryota; Viridiplantae; Streptophyta; Magnoliopsida; Arecales; Arecaceae
Description: long non-coding RNA (EGUI_LNC004455)
Source: RNAcentral